CCAGAGGCGUUCCAGGUGUCCCCAAAGGCGUCCCAGGUGUCCUCAAAGGUGUUCCAGGUGUCCCCAAAGGUGUCCCAGGUGCCACCUCAGGUGUCCCCACCACUGUCCCAUUGGGUGUCCAGGUGGUCCCAGCGGCUCCAGCCCCAGGUAGGGACAUCCCAG
This is a long non-coding RNA of Myiozetetes cayanensis, 162 nucleotides long. RefSeq lists it as uncharacterized. The transcript has 3 exons. Lineage: Eukaryota; Metazoa; Chordata; Aves; Passeriformes; Tyrannidae. The record is from RefSeq and is a predicted model, not a curated record.